AGUGAACGCUGGCGGCGUGCUUAACACAUGCAAGUCGAACGAGAACGGAUUAUAGCUUGCUAUAAUUGUCAGCUAAGUGGCGCACGGGUGAGUAAUGUAUAGGUAAUAUGCCUCUUACUAAGGGAUAACAAAUGGAAACGUUUGCUAAUACCUUAUACUCCUUAUUAACAGAAGUUAAUAAGGGAAAGAUUUAUUGGUAAGAGAUUAGCCUGUAUUGUAUCAGUUAGUUGGUGGGGUAAUGGCUUACCAAGACUAUGACACAUAACUGGUUUGAGAGGAUGAGCAGUCACACUGGAGCUGCGACACGGUCCAGACUCCUACGGGAGGCAGCAGUGGGGAAUAUUGCACAAUGGACGAAAGUCUGAUGCAGCAACGCCGCGUGGAGGAUGGCACAUUUCGGUGCGUAAACUCCUUUUAUAUGAGAAGAUAAUGACGGUAUUAUAUGAAUAAGCACCGGCUAACUCCGUGCCAGCCGCCGCAGUAA
RNAcentral lists this ribosomal RNA (484 nucleotides) under uncultured bacterium. Its description in RNAcentral is "partial 16S ribosomal RNA". It matches the Rfam family "Bacterial small subunit ribosomal RNA", at positions 29 to 523 of the family's 1533-position model. The record is from RNAcentral.